UGGGGAAUAUUGCACAAUGGGCGCAAGCCUGAUGCAGCCAUGCCGCGUGUAUGAAGAAGGCCUUCGGGUUGUAAAGUACUUUCAGCGGGGAGGAAGGUGUUGUGGUUAAUAACCACAGCAAUUGACGUUACCCGCAGAAGAAGCACCGGCUAACUCCGUGCCAGCAGCCGCGGUAAUACGGAGGGUGCAAGCGUUAAUCGGAAUUACUGGGCGUAAAGCGCACGCAGGCGGUCUGUCAAGUCGGAUGUGAAAUCCCCGGGCUCAACCGGGGAACUGCAUCCGAAACUGGCAGGCUUGAGUCUUGUAGAGGGGGGUAGAAUUCCAGGUGUAGCGGUGAAAUGCGUAGAGAUCUGGAGGAAUACCGGUGGCGAAGGCGGCCCCCUGGACAAAGACUGACGCUCAGGUGCGAAAGCGUGGGGAGCAAACA
This 427-nucleotide ribosomal RNA is filed under the name uncultured bacterium. RNAcentral describes it as "partial 16S ribosomal RNA". It matches the Rfam family "Bacterial small subunit ribosomal RNA", at positions 355 to 774 of the family's 1533-position model. The record is from RNAcentral.